RNAcentral lists this ribosomal RNA (440 nucleotides) under uncultured bacterium. RNAcentral describes it as "partial 16S ribosomal RNA". It matches the Rfam family "Bacterial small subunit ribosomal RNA", at positions 338 to 795 of the family's 1533-position model. The record is from RNAcentral.
CCUACGGGUGGCUGCAGUGGGGAAUAUUGCACCAUGGGGGAAACCCUGAUGCAGCGACGCCGCGUGAGCGAAGAAGUAUCUCGGUACGUAAAGCUCUAUCAGCAGGGAAGAUAAUGACGGUACCUGACCAAGAAACCCCGGCUAACUACGGUCCAGCCGCCGAGGUAAUACGUAGGGGGCAAGCGUUGUCCGGAUUUACUGGGUGUAAAGGGAGCGUAGACGGAAGCCAAAGUCUGGAGUGAAAUACCGGGGCUUAACCCCGGAACUGCUUUGGAAACUGGGCGGCUGGAGUGAAGGAGGGGUAAGCGGAAUUCCUAGUGUAGCGGUGAAAUGCGUAGAUAUUAGGAGGAACACCGGUGGCGAAGGCGGCUUACUGGACUGUAACUGACGUUGAGGCUCGAAAGCGUGGGGAGCAAACAGGAUUAGAUACCCCAGUAGUC